UAGCAUAUCAAUAAGCGGAGGAAAAGAAACCAACAGGGAUUGCCUCAGUAACGGCGAGUGAAGCGGCAACAGCUCAAAUUUGAAAUCUGGCCUCUUUGGGGUCCGAGUUGUAAUUUGUAGAGGAUGUUUCGGGUACCGCCUCGGUUUAAAUUUCUUGGAACAGAAUGUCAAAGAGGGUGAGAAUCCCGUCUUGGACCGGCGGUAGGGCCCAUGUGAAACUCCUUCGACGAGUCGAGUUGUUUGGGAAUGCAGCUCAAAAUGGGUGGUAAAUUUCAUCUAAAGCUAAAUAUUGGCCAGAGACCGAUAGCGCACAAGUAGAGUGAUCGAAAGAUGAAAAGCACUUUGAAAAGAGAGUUAAACAGUAUGUGAAAUUGUUGAAAGGGAAGCGCUUACAACCAGACUUGCGCGCGGCGGUUCCCCCUUCCUUUUGGUUGGGCUACUCCGUCGUGUCCAGGCCAACAUCGGUUCUGGGGGUCGGUUAAAGACCCUGGGAAUGUAUCUACCCUUCGGGCGUAGACUUAUAGCUCAGGGUGUCAUGCGACCUCCCGGGACCGAGGAACGCGCUUCGGCUCGGAUGUUGGCGUAAUGGUUGUCAGCGACCCGUCUUGAAACACGGACCAAGGAGUCUAACAUCUAUGCGAGUGUUUGGGUGUCAAACCCGGAACGCGAAAUGAAAGUGAACGGAGGUAGGAAGCCAUGAGGCUGCACUAUCGACCGAUCCUGAUGUCUUCGGAUGGAUUUGAGUAAGAGCAUAGCUGUUGGGACCCGAAAGAUGGUGAACUAUGCCUGAAUAGGGUGAAGCCAGAGGAAACUCUGGUGGAGGCUCGCAGCGGUUCUGACGUGCAAAUCGAUCGUCAAAUUUGGGUAUAGGGGCGAAAGACUAAUCG
This 887-nucleotide ribosomal RNA is filed under the name Exophiala equina. RNAcentral's name for it is "LSU rRNA". It matches the Rfam family "Eukaryotic large subunit ribosomal RNA", at positions 36 to 937 of the family's 3401-position model. The record is from RNAcentral. Lineage: Eukaryota; Fungi; Ascomycota; Eurotiomycetes; Chaetothyriales; Herpotrichiellaceae.